AUUGAACGCUGGCGGCAGGCUUAACACAUGCAAGUCGAACGAGUGGCGGACGGGUGAGUAAUGCUUGGGAAUCUAGCUUAUGGAGGGGGAUAACUACGGGAAACUGUAGCUAAUACCGCGUACCAUUGGAUGAGCCCAAGUGGGAUUAGGUAGUUGGUGAGGUAAAGGCUCACCAAGCCGACGAUCUCUAGCUGGUUUGAGAGGAUGACCAGCCACACGUGGACUGAGAAACGGCCCAGACUCCUACGGGAGGCAGCAGUGGGGAAUAUUGCGCAAUGGGGGCAACCUGACGCAGCCAUGCCGCGUGGAGGAAGAAGGCCUUCGGGUUGUAAAGUUCUUUCGGUGGCGAGGCGUUAACUACAGAAGAAGCACCGGCUAACUCCGUGCCAGCAGCCGCGGUAAUUC
Molecule: ribosomal RNA, 405 nt
Filed under: uncultured bacterium
Lineage: Bacteria
Description: partial 16S ribosomal RNA
Rfam family: Bacterial small subunit ribosomal RNA
Source: RNAcentral